UGGGUAAUAUUGCACAAUGGGCACAAGCCUGAUGCAGCGACGCCGCGUGAGCGAUGAAGGUUUUCGAAUCGUAAAGCUCUGUCCUAUGGGAAGAUAAUGACGGUACCAUAGGAGGAAGCCCCGGCUAACUACGUGCCAGCAGCCGCGGUAAUACGUAGGGGGCGAGCGUUGUCCGGAAUUACUGGGCGUAAAGGGUUCGCAGGCGGCAUGACAAGUCCGAUGUAAAAGGCGAAAGCUCAACUUUCGUAAGCAUCGGAAACUGUCAAGCUGGAGGGAAGGAGAAGCAAGUGGAAUUCCUAGUGUAGCGGUGGAAUGCGUAGAUAUUAGGAGGAAUACCGGUGGCGAAGGCGACUUGCUGGACUUCAACUGACGCUGAGGAACGAAAGCGUGGGUAGCAAACAGG
This 403-nucleotide ribosomal RNA is filed under the name Verrucomicrobiota bacterium. RNAcentral's name for it is "Verrucomicrobia bacterium partial 16S ribosomal RNA". It matches the Rfam family "Bacterial small subunit ribosomal RNA", at positions 355 to 776 of the family's 1533-position model. The record is from RNAcentral. Lineage: Bacteria; Pseudomonadati; Verrucomicrobiota.